RNAcentral lists this ribosomal RNA (497 nucleotides) under uncultured bacterium. Its description in RNAcentral is "partial 16S ribosomal RNA". It matches the Rfam family "Bacterial small subunit ribosomal RNA", at positions 28 to 507 of the family's 1533-position model. The record is from RNAcentral.
GAUGAACGCUGGCGGCGUGCCUAAUACAUGCAAGUCGAGCGAACGGACGAGAAGCUUGCUUCUCUGAUGUUAGCGGCGGACGGGUGAGUAACACGUGGCUAACCUACCUAUAAGACUGGGAUAACUUCGGGAAACCGGAGCUAAUACCGGAUGAUAUUUUGAACCGCAUGGUUCAACAGUGAAAGACGGUCUUGCUGUCACUUAUAGAUGGAUCCGCGCUGCAUUAGCUAGUUGGUAAGGUAACGGCUUACCAAGGCAACGAUGCAUAGCCGACCUGAGAGGGUGAUCAGCCACACUGGAACUGAGACACGGUCCAGACUCCUACGGGAGGCAGCAGUAGGGAAUCUUCCGCAAUGGGCGAAAGCCUGACGGAGCAACGCCGCGUGAGUGAUGAAGGUCUUCGGAUCGUAAAACUCUGUUAUUAGGGAAGAACAUAUGUGUAAGUAACUGUGCACAUCUUGACGGUACCUAAUCAGAAAGCCACGGCUAACUACGUG